Molecule: long non-coding RNA, 604 nt
Filed under: Lotus japonicus
Lineage: Eukaryota; Viridiplantae; Streptophyta; Magnoliopsida; Fabales; Fabaceae
Description: long non-coding RNA (LJAP_LNC001366)
Source: RNAcentral
CUCAGCUUUAAAUAUUCACCUCACACUCUCGCAGACUCCCCAGUCCCCAACAACAGAAAAUUUAGAGAAUGGAAACAGAGCAUAGGAAAAUGCUAACCAUGACCAAUAGUCCAAGCCAUUGACUGAAAAUCAAAGAUAUUACCACUUCAGAAUUUUGGUAAGUGCAAAUAAAAUUUCGAGGUAAGAAAAAAAAAAAGAAACUUUCACUUUGAGUUUAGCAGAUCUUGAGUAAAUAGAGAAUACCCAAAUUGAUAUUUUUCUUGGGGAGUUGGGAAGAGAAGAUAGGACAGUUAAUAUCUUUGGUAAAUUAAGAAAAUAAUGAGUAUGAGAGGGAUAGAGAGUACAAAAAUUACUCAGAUGCAGCAAAAAGUAUGAGAUUUACCAGAGGGAAAAUCUUGAGUUAGGAGACAGUGUUACUUCCAGGAUCUGAGCUAUGGAAGCAGUUACCAGCUAAUUCGCCACAUGUGCCUGUGACAUAUCUUUGAGUGUUUUGCAGUUGUGCCACAUGAUUUGAGUGCUUUUCUGGUCUGGGAAGCUUUAAUUAUUUGUUCUGCAUUACCAGUACCUGCGAGAAAGAAGAAGAGGAGAAAAAGAAACAAGAAAU